Molecule: small nuclear RNA, 284 nt
Filed under: Rattus norvegicus (Norway rat)
Lineage: Eukaryota; Metazoa; Chordata; Mammalia; Rodentia; Muridae
Description: 7SK RNA
Rfam family: 7SK RNA
About the family: 7SK was discovered as an abundant small nuclear RNA in the mid-70s but a possible function has only recently been suggested. Two independent studies have found that 7SK RNA binds the CDK9/cyclin T complex (known as elongation factor P-TEFb). P-TEFb activates transcription by phosphorylating the C-terminal domain of RNA polymerase II.
Source: Rfam by way of RNAcentral
GUGUGUGAGGUUAAUUUGGCUAUCACCUCUGACACUCUGGUCACUCUGGUCACUGAUUUGGCUGACUUUGACGGACAGGCAGGUGCCCUUCCCCCCUCACCACUCCUUGUACAUUCCUUCCAAACUUGGAUGCUCAGGGAUGAUGAUGCCCUUCCUAAGUGGAAAACUGUUGUUCUGUCAAGAGUACACUAAUGACUUUGCUCUCUUGCUAAGACCCCCAACAAGCUCUCAAGGAAGUAAGUCACUGAUGGAGAGUCCAUGGUUACCUUAUGCUGACUCCUACC